Microcebus murinus (gray mouse lemur) is the source of this 2741-nucleotide non-coding RNA. The record is from RefSeq and is a predicted model, not a curated record. Lineage: Eukaryota; Metazoa; Chordata; Mammalia; Primates; Cheirogaleidae.
GAAUGUUCCAUGUGCUGAGAAGAAUGUGUAUCCUGUGGCUUUGGGGUAGAAUGUUCUGUAAAUGUCUCUUAGGUCCUUUUGGUCUAGAGUCCAGUUUAAGUUCAGCAUUUUUAAUUUUUUUUUUUUUGCUGAUUUUCUAUCUCAAUGAUCUGUCGAGUGCUGUAUGGGGAGUGUUAAAGUCCGUCACUACUAUUGUAUUGCUGUCUAUCUCAUUCUUCAGGUCUAGUAAUAUGUGUUUUCUAUAUCUGGGUGCUUCAGUGUUGGGUGCACAUACAUUUAAGGUUGUUAUAUCCUCUUGCUGAAUUGAUCCCUUUCUCAUUAUAUAAUGACCUUUGGGUUGUUUUUUCUUUUUUUACUGUUUUUGAUUGAUAGUCUGUUUUACCUGAUACAAGUAUAUCUAUUCUUGCUCACUUUUGGUUUUCCUUUUCAGGGAAUAUCAUUUUCCAUCUCUUUACUCUUUGUCUAAAUGAUGUGUCUUUACAGAUGAAGGUCUCCCCUCUGAAGAAGUAGAUCUACUGGAAGGCAUCACUACCAUGAGAAUGUGACUUGGAUAACCACCGGUCCAUGGAGAAUGAGAAACACAUGAGAGCGAAUGAUCCCAAUUUACUACCUGGAGUAAAUCACAAUCCCAGCUGACCCAGAUGUGUCAGGCAUCCUAAGGUCAACCUGUACUAAAUGAUUGAAGAUUGAAAUUGAUUAUGAUGCCCUGAUCUUAUAUAUCGGAUUUGAAGUUCUUUUGCUCAAGGGCUAUCAGGAGAACAGAUUUCAGUGAGUUUGACUUCUGGCAACAUCAGCCAAAAUCUCUGGCAGGCACAAAGAUGCAGGUAUCCAUAAGGUUGAAUAGUCCAUGCUUUAAAACUGAAGACUGAAUAUUUUUUUUACUGAACCACUUAAAUCUUAGAACUUAAAAUUCUGUACUUCCUACAUAUAUUGUGAUUUAAACUUCUAUGAAAUAAAAUAACAAAGCUAGGGUAGUAUUCUUGGACAAUUGUGCAAAGUCAUUCUGUACAAUGACCUCUCUAAUCUAAUGGGGGGAGUGAUGGUUGUGUUAUUAAAAGAAAUGCUAUUAUCUUCUACAAGAAGAUCAAAAUUAUAAACUAUCAUACAUGGGUUGAAGAAGUAGAUGUAACAUAAAAAUUACAAUCCUUGGCAUAAAAUAAGGAAACACCAACUGGGAGAGAGAGGGAGGGAUGGAGAGAGGGAGAGAAAGAGAGAGGGGGAGAGAGAGAGAGAGAGAGAGAGAGAGAGAGAGAGAGAGAGAGAAGGAAUGCCUGUCAAUACUUGCCAAGAUAUUAGAACUGCAAGUGUUGGAAAUGGAUUACUAAAAGUGGCAUAUAAUUAUGUAUAAAGAAUGAAAUUUGAUAUCUCAUUGAUCCACAUCUAUUAAAAACUAUUCAUUGUAAACUAAGUGGAUCAACACACACAGUUUUAAUUUACUUUCAAAAAAAGAAAAGAAGCCUUGAGAUUUUUGUCAUUUUUGAUACCAUUUAAUUUAGUUUCAUAGUAACAAAUAUGAAUUAGCAGCUACAUGCUAUGUGCCAGUAACUGAAUACUGUAUUUUAUAUCUUUAUCACAUUCCAUGUUCACAUUCUUAUAAGGGAAUUGGUAUUACUCCCUGUUGUAUAGAUGAAGAAACGUCAUAUAUAUGUAGUAAAACUGGGGAGAUAUUUAGCAAUUAGUAAAGGCUGUGAAAAGUGGACAUUAUUGAAUCAUAAUUAAGAGUCAUACAGUCAUGAAUUUGAAUCACAACUUAGUCUUUUGCUGGCCAUUGGACUUUGGACAAAUCACAUUCAUUCUAUGAGUUCUAGUUUUCCUCAGUGUACAUGAAGGGUCUGAUAGUGAGCAUAUUUAUAUAUUUUUAACUGUCAAUUGAAUAACAUACAUAAAGCUCAUUCUAAUAAGCAUAUAUACAUUGAGUGUAGUGUAUAACAUUCAACGACUGUGGGUUUAUACUGUUUAAUAAUCUGUUUAAUACUUUAAUAAUACUGUUUAAUACUAUUUAAUCUGUUUAAUACUUCAAAAAAUGAUAAUGUUAUCACAAAGUAUUGCCCAGGUUUGUUUUUCUCUUUACACUUAAGCCAGAACUCUCACUGUAUGAGUGCCAAAACCACAUGCUUCUCAUUCUCUUACUGCUUUGAUGCAAAUUAACAAAAAUGAUUUAUUCUCCUUUUUCUUUUAUCUUUCUAUAAAAUUAAUAUACUUAUUUAGGGUAUGACUGCUGACACUGUGGUGGUUCAAAGAAGUAUACGAGAGAAUUUCUUAUUUCCUAGUAACAUUUUUUAGGUUACAAAGGUACUCCCAAAUUUUAUAAAGUUUCAAGAUAGCAUUGAAUAUGCUUAAUAGUUUUUCAAAAAAUAUAUCAUUAUUUAGUUUGAUUAAAUGAAUUGGAAGUUUAGCAUUAUAUAUGGGAUCAUUGUACCUAAUUAUUAUAUGAGAAACUUCCAAAUAUGGACCUACUGCACAAAUAUGGACUCUAGUAUAAACUCAAAGAGAUUGAUAUUUUAUGAUUUCAUCUACAACCUUUAUAACUAAUGAAAAUAUCUGUUCCAUCACAUAGUUGUAACUAACAUACACACAAAUACUAAGUUUCAAAAUAAUUUUAGAGAAAGAGAUUCACUUUAAUAUCAGUAGCAUUGUUUCCCCUAAACCAGCCUGACAUCCGAUGGUUAACUCCUGCUUAUGUUUCAGAAAUCAGAUUAACCUUACUUUCUCUACUAAGCCCUCCUUAAACUGAGUCCAUU